This 497-nucleotide ribosomal RNA is filed under the name uncultured bacterium. RNAcentral's name for it is "partial 16S ribosomal RNA". It matches the Rfam family "Bacterial small subunit ribosomal RNA", at positions 28 to 507 of the family's 1533-position model. The record is from RNAcentral.
GAUGAACGCUGGCGGCGUGCCUAAUACAUGCAAGUCGAGCGAACAGACGAGGAGCUUGCUCCUCUGACGUUAGCGGCGGACGGGUGAGUAACACGUGGAUAACCUACCUAUAAGACUGGGAUAACUUCGGGAAACCGGAGCUAAUACCGGAUAAUAUAUUGAACCGCAUGGUUCAAUAGUGAAAGACGGUUUUGCUGUCACUUAUCGAUGGAUCCGCGCCGCAUUAGCUAGUUGGUAAGGUAACGGCUUACCAAGGCGACGAUGCGUAGCCGACCUGAGAGGGUGAUCGGCCACACUGGAGCUGAGACACGGUCCAGACUCCUACGGGAGGCAGCAGUAGGGAAUCUUCCGCAAUGGGCGAAAGCCUGACGGAGCAACGCCGCGUGAGUGAUGAAGGUCUUCGGAUCGUAAAACUCUGUUAUUAGGGAAGAACAAAUGUGUAAGUAACUAUGCACGUCUUGACGGUACCUAAUCAGAAAGCCACGGCUAACUACGUG